Molecule: ribosomal RNA, 491 nt
Filed under: uncultured bacterium
Lineage: Bacteria
Description: partial 16S ribosomal RNA
Rfam family: Bacterial small subunit ribosomal RNA
Source: RNAcentral
AUUGAACGCUGGCGGCAGGCCUAACACAUGCAAGUCGAACGGUAACAGGAAGAAGCUUGCUUCUUUGCUGACGAGUGGCGGACGGGUGAGUAAUGUCUGGGAAACUGCCUGAUGGAGGGGGAUAACUACUGGAAACGGUAGCUAAUACCGCAUAACGUCGCAAGACCAAAGAGGGGGACCUUCGGGCCUCUUGCCAUCGGAUGUGCCCAGAUGGGAUUAGCUAGUAGGUGGGGUAACGGCUCACCUAGGCGACGAUCCCUAGCUGGUCUGAGAGGAUGACCAGCCACACUGGGACGGAGACACGGUCCAGACUCCUACGGGAGGCAGCAGUGGGGAAUAUUGCCCAAUGGGCGCAAGCCUGAUGCAGCCAUGCCGCGUGUAUGAAGAAGGCCUUCGGGUUGUAAAGUACUUUCAGCGGGGAGGAAGGGAGUAAAGUUAAUACCUUUGCUCAUUGACGUUACCCGCAGAAGAAGCACCGGCUAACUCCGUGC